GACAUAGGUUGCGAACGUUAUCCGGAAUUAUUGGGCGUAAAGGAUGCGUAGAUGGUUUGAUAAGUUAUCAGUGGCAAAUCGGGGCUCAACCUCGUGGAAGCUGGUAAUACUGUCAUACUCGAGUGCAGGAGAAGUUAACGGAACUCUAUAUGGAGCGGUAAAAUGUGACGAUAUAUAGAAGAACACCAAUAAGGCGAAGGCAGUUAACUAUUCUGUUACUGACAUUGAGGCAUGAAAGCGUGGGGAGCAAAACGGAUUAGAUACCCGUGUAGUCCACGCCCUAAACGAUGAGUGCUAGAUAUUGGGAACUAGAUUCUCAGUGUCGCUAGUUAACACGGUAAGCACUCCGCCUGGGUAGUACGAUCGCAAGGUUGAA
RNAcentral lists this ribosomal RNA (376 nucleotides) under uncultured bacterium. RNAcentral describes it as "bacterial SSU rRNA". It matches the Rfam family "Bacterial small subunit ribosomal RNA", at positions 524 to 898 of the family's 1533-position model. The record is from RNAcentral.